This 248-nucleotide ribosomal RNA is filed under the name Clostridium botulinum. RNAcentral's name for it is "partial 16S ribosomal RNA". It matches the Rfam family "Bacterial small subunit ribosomal RNA", at positions 62 to 309 of the family's 1533-position model. Lineage: Bacteria; Bacillati; Bacillota; Clostridia; Eubacteriales; Clostridiaceae. The record is from RNAcentral.
UCGAGCGAUGAAGCUUCCUUCGGGAAGUGGAUUAGCGGCGGACGGGUGAGUAACACGUGGGUAACCUGCCUCAAAGUGGGGGAUAGCCUUCCGAAAGGAAGAUUAAUACCGCAUAAUAUAAGAGAAUCGCAUGAUUUUCUUAUCAAAGAUUUAUUGCUUUGAGAUGGACCCGCGGCGCAUUAGCUAGUUGGUAAGGUAACGGCUUACCAAGGCAACGAUGCGUAGCCGACCUGAGAGGGUGAUCGGCC